Molecule: long non-coding RNA, 1524 nt
Organism: Helicoverpa armigera (cotton bollworm)
Lineage: Eukaryota; Metazoa; Arthropoda; Insecta; Lepidoptera; Noctuidae
Exons: 2
Source: RefSeq, a predicted model, not a curated record
UAGGGCCGAUUUUUCAAUUGUCAGAUAAACAAACAGAUAGGGUAUAUUCGAGAGAUAGCGAAGUUGAUGAAUUUUUCAAUGGUCGAGUAAGACCUAUUGGACGAAUAAAUCCUUAUCUGAGGAAUUAAUUUAUUUGCCGCCUUGACCGCCAGGUAAGUACUAUUCGAUUGAUAAUUUGACGCAGAUGACGUUUUAGUUUGAAGUUAUUUCUUGCGCUAUUAACAAUUUAUCAAUUUAUUAUGGAUAUUUUCGAUAAUAUUGAUGACUUGGCUAUCGAAGAAGAGACUUUAAUAAAUGAAUAUAUAAAUCCACCCGAAAGAAAAGAAAGAAUAAUCCGCCCAAGGCCUGAAAGUUAUUUCUUGCGCUAUUAACAAUUUAUUAUGGAUAUUUUCGAUAAUAUUGAUGACUUGGCUAUCGAAGAAGAGACUAUAAUAAAUGAAUAUAUAAAUCCACCCGAAAGAAAAGAAAGAAUAACUAAUCCGCCCAAGGCCUGAUCACUUUAGGAUUUGGGAUUCAAAAGAAUUUCAUCGCAGAUUCAGACUUCGGAAAGAGUCGGUGCAAUAUUUACUUUCCCUAAUUGAAAAUAAAAUCAAGCACCAAACAGAAAGAAAUCAGUGUAUUUCACCCAUGUUGCAGUUAUUAAUUGCACUGCGAUUUUAUGCCACUGGAAGUUUUUACAUAACUGUUGGUGAUUUUGGUGGUAUUCAUAGUUCCACUAUGUGCCGUAUUAUUAAAAAAGUUACUGAAGCUAUAGCAUCUUUAAGAACAAUAUUCAUAAACUUGCCAAGAAGUGACGAAGACAUCAGAAGCACUCAACUAGAAUUUUAUAAAAUAGCCAGAUUCCUAGAGUAGUAUCGGCUAUAGAUGGCACCCAUAUUAGGAUUCAGUCGCCUGGUGGUAACACUGCAGAAGAAUUCAGGAAUAGAAAAGGAUUCUUUUCGUUUAAUGUUCAAGCAAUGUGUUCAGCAGACUUGAUGUUUCAAGAUAUAGUUGCACGUUGGCCUGGCUCUACCCAUGAUUGCAUGAUAUUUGCCAAUUCACAUGUGAAAUACCACUUUGAGAAUGGUGAAUUUGGCAAUGGAAUUAUACUUGGAGAUAGUGGUUAUGAACUAACUAAUUACCUACUCACUCCUUUUCAAAAUCCAGACACACCAACUAAGACUUUAUAUAAUGAAUCACAAAUUCGAACACGGAAUGUUAUUGAAAGGUGCUUUGGAGUUUGGAAAAGACGGUUUCCAGUCCUAAGUAUAGGAUUAAGGUGUAGGCUGCCGCUUGCACAAGAUGUGAUUGUAGCCUGUGCUGUACUACACAACUUGGCAAGAUCAAAAAAUGAGGAGGAACCUCCAGUGGACCCAGAAUUGCAUAUUCCACCACAGCCUAUAUUUCCACCCGCUAUAGCCGAUUUUACUGGUGAUGAAAGGUGCCAUACUAGGAACUUAAUCUUAAUAAAUUAUUUUCAUGCCUUACCUACUGAAUAAUCUAGGGCAGCCAAGCUCAAUUUUUCAACAGUUUUACUACAUAUAA